UACGUAGGGUGCGAGCGUUGUCCGGAAUUAUUGGGCGUAAAGAGCUCGUAGGCGGUUUGUCGCGUCUAUCGUGAAAACCUGGGGCUUAACUCCGGGCUUGCGGUGGAUACGGGCAGACUUGAGUUCGGUAGGGGAGACUGGAAUUCCUGGUGUAGCGGUGAAAUGCGCAGAUAUCGUAAGGAAGACCAGUGGCGAAGGCGGGUCUCUGGACAGUUCCUGACACUGAGACACGAAGGCCAGGGGAGCAAACGGG
RNAcentral lists this ribosomal RNA (253 nucleotides) under uncultured bacterium. Its description in RNAcentral is "partial 16S ribosomal RNA". It matches the Rfam family "Bacterial small subunit ribosomal RNA", at positions 524 to 776 of the family's 1533-position model. The record is from RNAcentral.